AGGACACUGAAGAUGAAGGGCUUGACUGGCCUGGCAGACUCGGAUGUGAAGGAAAACAGAGGUUGGGACAGGGGAGCCGGGUACCGUUAGGACUGCCCUAUGCAGGGGCCUCAGCCUACGCCCCCAAAGCUUCUUUCUUGUUGGGAUUGGGAGGAAGCUGAAGGUGAUCAUUGCCAAAAGCAGUUCUCUCUCGUUAAAAACAACCAGUAAAAGUGUAACCUUUCUUUUUUUUUUUUUUUUUUUUGGUACAAGGCCUUUCAUUUUCCUUUUUUUAUGGGAAACCAAGGGAAAAAGCACACUGCGAUCUAGUCAAGUGUUUUACUGUUGUGGCUCAUUGUAUGUUUGUCAACCCUUGUAUGAACCUGGACAGACCUCUCCUGUGUGUCGCUUAGUCAGAGAACUCAAGUACGCCCUUAGGUAGGAAGAUUUUUUUUUUUACACAUGUCUACCAGUCGGCAGGCAGAACAGAGUUCAGACAACUCAGCUUCCAAAGGGCCCAUCCACCUCCGGCAGUAUCUGUGACCUUGAUCUAUAUACCACCUCUGUCCACAGAUACCAAGAGGGAAAAAAAGGCAAAAAAAAAAAAAAAAAUUCAAAUAAAAAGCAUGCGUGCAAGCUGCUCGUUUACAUGUGUUUUGAGCUAUGCUUAACACACAACCGAAAAGCCAUCAAUCUUCAAAGGCCUCAGAAUUACUUUUGUAAUAACUAACCAGCGCACAGUCUUAGUCGAGUUACUAAAGAUGGCGCAGGAGUCUCUGUGGAGGUAGUGCGUGUGCAUCUGUGCAAGCGCAAGGCUUGCAGGGUUACUUCUGCAAAGCCUUCCUGUGGGAAGUGCACCUAGGACCAGGAGCCAGGAGGAAAGCAAAUGUAGAAGUUAGCUGUGGCAUCAAACGAAAAGACUUUGCUUCUCGUGUAUGUAAAUCAAAGAAUAACAAUAGACUCUAUGAGACCAGGAAGGUUAAGAAAUGGAUGGGGGGGGGGGGGCUGCGGAUUUAGCUCAGUGGUAGAGCGCUUACCUAGGAAGCGCAAGGCCCUGGGUUCGGUCCCCAGCUCCGAAAAAAAGAACCAAAAAAAAAAAAAAAAAAAAAAAAAAAAAGAAAUGGAUACCGGAAAGGGCUAAUCCUGUGGCUCACUUUGCAGUGGCUUGGAAAGCUCUGGAAGUCAAGUGGGGGCAUUCAUACCAUAUGGCUCGCCACGGCCUUCUCUCGCCCAUUCGAGGCUGGGUACCCCAGAGCUGGGCAUGAUGAGCCCAGCUUCCAGAAACAGUACUCUUCCCAGACACGUCAGGGAUAACCCUAUAGGAAGGGUAGGAACUGGAUACAAUGGUACAAAAUGACCCUGGGGCUCCAUGGAGACGGGGCUACCUUUGUUGCUCCUAGUUCAAUAAUGGGAGCUACAAAAGAGGUUCUUUGGGGGAUUAUUCCUUCCUUCCUUAGCUAAUAGGAAAUGUGACACACUGUGCCCAUUUUCUUUGAUCCCAAAGGAGAUGCCUGAGUAAUUAGCCUGAACUAUGGUGCAACAAAGUCCAAAAGGAAACAAAGAACAAGACAAGGUUACAUGGUUACGGGUUGUAACACAGACAGUGGUUUGGAAAUCAAUUCCGAAGUCCUUCGGAUCUAUGAGAGAUACAGAGAGAAUUUAAGUGUAAUAGAUCUGGGGAGCAGAGGGAAUCGGAGUGGGAGCCGUGAACACCAUCGCGAUGGUCUGGUAGUAAGGACAGAGAUUAAGUAAAACAGGUUUUACUGUUUAGCUGUGUUCGGUUACUACAAUGUACAUAGUAUAGUAAGCGUUAGUCCUUUGAGACGGACAUGAUAAAUGGUCGCUGUGGUUGGUGGUGAACGCUCUAGCUAUUGUAUCCAAGCACCUGAAAACUCUUGACAGAUCCCCAUUUCUUUAAAGGAAGAUGAAACAUGAAGUCCCCAGUCUGAUCUAAAGCCCCUAUUGGAUUCGUCGGGUACAUGUAAGAGAUUGCUUGUUUCAGCCAGAAAACUAUGUUGUGAGCCAGGUUGGUUUCUCUUGUUUUAUGCAGGUGAGUGUUGGAACUGUUCAAAACCCGGUUCGUUUUUCAUCCAGUAUUAGUUUAGUUCUAAAUAUAGCAAGCCUCACCCAGGUGCUAUCAGAUGACCAAUUACUGCUUAGUUAACUAGGUGUAAAGUUUUACAUAUCCAUUCAUGUCAAUAGUUUAUUACGAGUUGUGGAAAAUGGACUCUAGUUUAAUAAUUGGGGGGAAAGGUUAGGUCGCUCCUGACUGACUGUAGAGCAUGUAAGAUGAUUUUCCUGGAUUCUGUUCAACUGUAACCAAUGAAAAAGAUGUAUGUUGUAGACAAAGUUGCAGAAUUAAAAAAAAGAAAUCUGCUUUUAAUUUAUUCUUUUUGUAUUAAGAAUUUGUAUAGUACCUUUACAUUUUUCAGAACAGUGUUGUCAACACUUAUUAAAGCAUUUUCAAAAUGAAAAC
Molecule: long non-coding RNA, 2455 nt
Filed under: Rattus norvegicus (Norway rat)
Lineage: Eukaryota; Metazoa; Chordata; Mammalia; Rodentia; Muridae
Description: long non-coding RNA NONRATT013120
Source: RNAcentral